CCUACGGGUGGCUGCAGUGAGGAAUAUUGGUCAAUGGCCGGAAGGCUGAACCAGCCAAGCCGCGUGCAGGAAGAAGUAUUUCGGUAUGUAAAGCCCUAUCAGCAGGGAAGAAGAUGACGGUACCUGAGUAAGAAGCCCCGGCUAACUACGUGCCAGCAGCCGCGGUAAUACGUAGGGGGCAAGCGUUAUCCGGAUUUACUGGGUGUAAAGGGGGCGUAGACGGUGGGACAAGUCUGAAGGGAAAGCCGGGGGGCUAACCCCGGGACUGCUUUUGAAACUGCCUGACUGGAGUGCAGGAGAGGCAAGCGGAAUUCCUAGUGUAGCGGUGAAAUGCGUAGAUAUUAGGAAGAACACCAAUGGCGAAGGCAGCUUGCUGGACAGUAACUGACGUUGAGGCACGAAAGCGUGGGGAGCAAACAGGAUUAGAUACCCUUGUAGUC
This 440-nucleotide ribosomal RNA is filed under the name uncultured bacterium. Its description in RNAcentral is "partial 16S ribosomal RNA". It matches the Rfam family "Bacterial small subunit ribosomal RNA", at positions 338 to 795 of the family's 1533-position model. The record is from RNAcentral.